This is a long non-coding RNA of Erigeron canadensis, 491 nucleotides long. RefSeq lists it as uncharacterized. NCBI's taxonomy places the organism in Eukaryota, Viridiplantae, Streptophyta, Magnoliopsida, Asterales, Asteraceae. The record is from RefSeq and is a predicted model, not a curated record. The transcript has 5 exons.
CCCAAAUUGGCCAUUUUUUUUACGUUUAAGGGUGUGUUUUUUUGAAUCACUAUACUUUCUAAUGACUGUGAUACGACUAUUUUCUAACGGUCUUGACGUUACUGAGCAAAAUGUUCUGAAAAAUGUGUGUAUAAAGUGAUCAGAACACAAGAUUGAGACAUGGGAACGUGGAGUUGGUGAGUAGGUUAUUGUUCGACCCGACAGCAAGCAACUCCCGGCAUGACGUGUUAAGAGAAGCUUUGUUAAUUUGUGGUGUUAAAUUGAACCUUUUCAUCCUCUUCCAGAAUAAAAGUUAAGCACCAGCUACUGUGAUGGUGUAUCUGAUGCAGAAGGUGACUCUUAAUCAGAUAUACCAAUGGAUGAAAGAACAUUUAACACUGGUUGACAUAAAUCCAGGGAAUACAGCCAAUAUGUUCACAUUGAAUAGUAUGAAAGGGGUGCAAAGCUGCUCAUUUGUAUGACACAUUUUCUAGAAUAUAUUGUUUUAAGAG